Molecule: ribosomal RNA, 447 nt
Filed under: uncultured bacterium
Lineage: Bacteria
Description: bacterial SSU rRNA
Rfam family: Bacterial small subunit ribosomal RNA
Source: RNAcentral
AACGAACGCUGGCGGCAGGCUUAACACAUGCAAGUCGAGCGCCCCGCAAGGGGAGCGGCAGACGGGUGAGUAACGCGUGGGAACAUACCCUUUGGUUCGGAAUAACUCAGGGAAACUUGAGCUAAUACCGGAUACGUCCGUAAGGAGAAAGAUUUAUCGCCAAAGGAUUGGCCCGCGUCCGAUUAGCUAGUUGGUGAGGUAACGGCUCACCAAGGCUACGAUCGGUAGCUGGUCUGAGAGGAUGAUCAGCCACAUUGGGACUGAGACACGGCCCAAACUCCUACGGGAGGCAGCAGUGGGGAAUAUUGGACAAUGGGCGCAAGCCUGAUCCAGCCAUGCCGCGUGAGUGAUGAAGGCCUUAGGGUUGUAAAGCUCUUUGUCCGGGAAGAUAAUGACUGUACCGGAAGAAUAAGCCCCGGCUAACUUCGUGCCAGCAGCCGCGGUAAU